RNAcentral lists this ribosomal RNA (1343 nucleotides) under uncultured bacterium. RNAcentral describes it as "16S ribosomal RNA". It matches the Rfam family "Bacterial small subunit ribosomal RNA", at positions 28 to 1378 of the family's 1533-position model. The record is from RNAcentral.
GACGAACGCUGGCGGCGUGCUUAACACAUGCAAGUCGAACGGAAAGGCCCUGCUUUUGUGGGGUGCUCGAGUGGCGAACGGGUGAGUAACACGUGAGUAACCUGCCCUUGACUUUGGGAUAACUUCAGGAAACUGGGGCUAAUACCGGAUAGGAGCUCCUGCUGCAUGGUGGGGGUUGGAAAGUUUCGGCGGUUGGGGAUGGACUCGCGGCUUAUCAGCUUGUUGGUGGGGUAGUGGCUUACCAAGGCUUUGACGGGUAGCCGGCCUGAGAGGGUGACCGGCCACAUUGGGACUGAGAUACGGCCCAGACUCCUACGGGAGGCAGCAGUGGGGAAUAUUGCACAAUGGGCGGAAGCCUGAUGCAGCAACGCCGCGUGCGGGAUGACGGCCUUCGGGUUGUAAACCGCUUUCGCCUGUGACGAAGCGUGAGUGACGGUAAUGGGUAAAGAAGCACCGGCUAACUACGUGCCAGCAGCCGCGGUGAUACGUAGGGUGCGAGCGUUGUCCGGAUUUAUUGGGCGUAAAGGGCUCGUAGGUGGUUGAUCGCGUCGGAAGUGUAAUCUUGGGGCUUAACCCUGAGCGUGCUUUCGAUACGGGUUGACUUGAGGAAGGUAGGGGAGAAUGGAAUUCCUGGUGGAGCGGUGGAAUGCGCAGAUAUCAGGAGGAACACCAGUGGCGAAGGCGGUUCUCUGGGCCUUUCCUGACGCUGAGGAGCGAAAGCGUGGGGAGCGAACAGGCUUAGAUACCCUGGUAGUCCACGCUGUAAACGGUGGGUACUAGGUGUGAGGUCCAUUCCACGGGUUCCGUGCCGUAGCUAACGCUUUAAGUACCCCGCCUGGGGAGUACGGCCGCAAGGCUAAAACUCAAAGGAAUUGACGGGGCCCCGCACAAGCGGCGGAGCAUGCGGAUUAAUUCGAUGCAACGCGUAGAACCUUACCUGGGUUUGACAUGGAUCGGGAGUGCUCAGAGAUGGGUGUGCCUCUUUUGGGGUCGGUUCACAGGUGGUGCAUGGCUGUCGUCAGCUCGUGUCGUGAGAUGUUGGGUUAAGUCCCGCAACGAGCGCAACCCUUGUUCACUGUUGCCAGCACGUUAUGGUGGGGACUCAGUGGAGACCGCCGGGGUCAACUCGGAGGAAGGUGGGGAUGACGUCAAGUCAUCAUGCCCCUUAUGUCCAGGGCUUCACGCAUGCUACAAUGGCUGGUACAGAGAGUGGCGAGCCUGUGAGGGUGAGCGAAUCUCGGAAAGCCGGUCCCAGUUCGGAUUGGGGUCUGCAACUCGACCUCAUGAAGUCGGAGUCGCUAGUAAUCGCAGAUCAGCAACGCUGCGGUGAAUACGUUCCCGGG